UCCUCAAAAUGUGGCAGUGGUACAGCCUGCACAAGCCCCUUCAGGCCGACCCACAAGCUAGGACCGGCCAAGAGAGGAAAAUGGUGUAGGAGGCGUACACCAGGAGGAGGACAUCACCACCAAGUCCCUGAAGCGCUUAAAGCGAGAGAGAAGCCUCCACCGGAUGCCACUCCUCAUGCCGCCACUUCCAGCUCUUCAAGAAGAGAACCAGGAUCAGUCAGAGUUUUGAUGCCAGCAACUGCCACCUUCCAGUCGUCAUGGUCAGAUGAUGCUAUGGAUGGUCUUGGUGGAUGCCCUCGUCACUUUUGAGAGCCAGAGGGAGCUCUUGCCCAUCUCCACCAGCCAGCAUGUGUCUGCCAGGAGUCCUGAACAGCUGCCGCUCUCCACCAGCGUGCCAGCAACUGCAGAGCAUCCUGAGCAGUCUCAUUUGUAUACCAGCAAGAAGGCAAAGCGCAGCAAGCACAAGAAGCCCCUGCUGUCCUCCACAAGCAAGGCUGCGUCUGAUUAGUGUCCAGAGCAGCCAACGUCUAGUGUGCAUCCAGAGCAGCUGAUGCUCCUGCCAUCCUCAGCACCUGGGAGUCUCCCCCUGAUGCUCACCCCGAGGAGCCGCCAACCUCCAACAGCCAGACUGCGUCUGCCACCACCUUGCAGCAGAGUGACUAUUCUGUGGAGCUGGAAGGCUGGGUGCGGCUGUGGAAAGACUCCAAUGGCAUCCCAUCUACAGACAUCCCCUGGCUGAAGGAGGACAGCGAGAGAGGCCUAUUUACGCCUGUCAGGCAACACAUACCUAUCCAAGUCUGGUUACCAUAUCCAGAUUCCAGGAAUAAAAGUCGUUUAAAGGAAAGGGGAAAGUUCCAAGCACCAUGAAGUACAGCAAAGCACCUAAGGCCCAGACGUUUGCUGGCAUGACGUGGACUUUACUGCCUGUUUGGGUCUCAGGCGGGGUGCAGCAUGGAGCUCCUGUACACAAAACAUCAUGUUGAGUCAUUUUGUAAAAGAUGACCCUGCACUGACAACAGGUUUCAAUACUCCGGUAUAUAAAAAAAUUCAGCUCACCUACGUACG
Long non-coding RNA from Paramisgurnus dabryanus, 1065 nucleotides. RefSeq lists it as uncharacterized. The record is from RefSeq and is a predicted model, not a curated record. NCBI's taxonomy places the organism in Eukaryota, Metazoa, Chordata, Actinopteri, Cypriniformes, Cobitidae.